Molecule: ribosomal RNA, 482 nt
Filed under: uncultured bacterium
Lineage: Bacteria
Description: partial 16S ribosomal RNA
Rfam family: Bacterial small subunit ribosomal RNA
Source: RNAcentral
AUUGAACGCUGGCGGCAUGCCUUACACAUGCAAGUCGAACGGUAACGCGCCUUCUUUUGCCGACGAGCGGCGGACGGGUGCGUAAUACAUCCGAACGUACCCGAUCCUUGGGGAUAACGUAGCUCAAGCUUAGCUAAUACCGCAUACGAUCUACGGAUGAGAUCCGGGGGCCGCAAUGGCUUGCGCCGACGGUGCGGCCUCUGGCAGAUUAGUUAGUUGGUGGGAUAAAAGCUUACCAAGCCCACGAUUUGUAGCUGAUCUGAGAGGAUGAUCAGCCACACUGGAACUGAGACACGGCCCAGACUCCUACGGGAGGCAGCAGUGGGGAAUUUUGGGCAAUGGGCGCAAGCCUGAUCCAGCCAUGCCGCGUGCAGGAUGAAGGCCUUCGGGUUGUAAACUGCUUUUGUAAGGAAAGAAAAGCCUUCUUUUAAUACAGGAGGGUCAUGACGGUACCGUAAGAAUAAGCACCGGCUAACUACGUG